Molecule: long non-coding RNA, 395 nt
Filed under: Setaria italica (foxtail millet)
Lineage: Eukaryota; Viridiplantae; Streptophyta; Magnoliopsida; Poales; Poaceae
Description: long non-coding RNA (SITA_LNC002957)
Source: RNAcentral
GAGCUCCCGCAGGCCCGCCGGGUAGUUGAAGAAGAUGGGCACGAACUCCGUAGGGCCGAUGGGCACGCCGUUGCGGAACCCGGAGGUGUUGGCACGGACGUCGGCGUCGUAGCUCUGCUCGAGCCCGUUGGGCGCCGGCUUGGCCGAGGUGAAGUAGCUGGUGUAGUAGUUGACGCCGAUGAAGUCGUAGGAGCCCUUGACGAGCGUCAUCUGCUCCGCCGUGAACUUCGGCAGCCGGUCGCCGAGGUAGCCGAUCAUGGUGGCCGGGUAGCCGCCGUGCACGAUGGGGUCGAGGAACCAGCCGUACAUGAAGUCGAGGCUGCGCUGCACGGCGAAGCUGUCGGCGGUGGAGUUUGUGUUGGGCACGAACCAGUGGGAGACGACGGCGAUGCCGA